AGCGAGACCCGUGUUGGAGUAGAGCAGCAAGCUGUGAUUCAGAACACAGUGAAGUGCAAUUCUUUGUUCCCCGGCUGCUCCCUACACACUGCACUCGCUGUCACAGUAGCCCAAGCACAGCCACACGCAGAGCACAGAACUACGCUGCAGAGGGCAGCUACAGCCCGGGCACGCACACAAACAAACAGGAGAGGAAACUGAAGUAGGAAUACAAUCCAAAUGCUUUCUGGACAGGUGUUACCUAGCUAUCAAACAAUCCCAACUAAGAUGCCAGGUCGGUUCCUAUGAAGUACAAUAAGUAACAACUCUCUGCCCUUAGGACUUUACUUUCACAUAUUUGGGAAUCACCAACUGUGACAUAUUUACGGAAACAAAUGUAACAAGGCCCCCAAGAUAAAAAACCACUAUUUUGCCCCUUUUAAUAUCCCAGAUUUAUAAUACUGUAAUUAUUUCUGAUGCAAUUAUUUUAGUGUGCAUGCCAUUAACUCAGUGACAGAACUGCAAACACCAAAGUUUUUCCCCUUCCUGCCUUCCAGACAAGUCAGCCCUCCGAAGUCUCUUAGAUUUCUCUUGCCACAUUUAAGAUUGUGGUCAACCAAAUCCUGGGGGCAGGAGACAACAGAGUAUACCCUCAAACAUCAGUCCUCUACAGAAAGGUUCUCAAGCAGAUCAAUCACAAACUCACGAAGAAGACAUUUGUGUAGCACUGUAUAGAUUAACCUAGUUCUAUUUUAGGUUACUCCAGCCACUCCUAGCUGCGACAACAAAAUGCCUUCUCUGCAAUCACGUUUCUCACCCCCCAAAAAACAAAAAAAGAAAAAUUAAAUUAAAUUAAGCCGACUUUUGAAACACAUCCCUCCCACUCCCCUGCCCCAAAAGCCUGCAGAGCAAGCCAGAAUCUUGGCACCUCGUGCCUGGAAGGAGCCACACUGCAGCCAGCAGCCAGCCCAACACCAGCCGGGUGGCAGGGGCUGCAGCUACGCUGGCGGCCUCUCCCAUCAGCUUCCCAGGCAACUGGAAACACCGCCUGAUCCUCAGCGUGGGAAGAUCUAAGACGCGAGAUUAGCGGGGAAGGAACUACAACCAGACAACAGCGUCUGCCCUGGCUACUGCCGAGCUGAAACGCGCUCCGCUCUCCACAGCGUGUGGAUCUGGAGGUGACAUGUCAAGUGAAAGGUCUCACUGGCCAAGCAGAAGAAAGCUACAUGUCCUUCCAGCUAUCAAACACUGAUCGUUUGUGUACUGAACACCAGCCUGGGGCCGCCCUUUGUCCCACUGCACUUGGUCCUUUACAACUUGUGAGUUGCCACAGGAACUUGUGAUGAAAUCUGUAAUUUACACUUGGCCAAGUAUGACCUCCUGGUGUCAAGCCUGUAGUAGUUUAGAGGGAAAAUGUUGCUAUCAUGCCACUACACUUUAGGAGUAAAAUGACCUUUAGGAGUAAAACUUCAUUCAGUUGUAGUGCACAGGAGAGAAAGGACAUCUCAAAACAAAGGCACAAUACCCAAUAGUUUUCAAUAACAAAAAGCCAUUGUGAAGUUGUUCUGUAGCCUGGAGAAAAGUUAAUCCAAUGAUUAUGAAUGAUUUUUUCUCCCUCAUAAUACUGUGUAAGAGAAAGUGAAGAACAGUAUGUUAAUGACUAAACAGCUCUAUUGAAUCACUGUGUUGGAGAAGCUGUAGAUUUCACUGUCUUCUUUGCUUUACCACAGUUUUCCUCACUUCAUUGAGACAAAUGGAGUACAGGAAGCCAAUUGAAGAGGCAAUAUGAAUUUCUCCCAGCAAGCUACCCUGCUAGGCAUUCUCCUUGGAAGGGGGACUACAGCUGCAGAAUGGCUGCUAUUCUGUACUUCAUAGCAUGUGUGAAGUGAAGAACAACCUUAAGCAUAGUGCAGUUGAUAUCCUGAGAUUAUUAUCCAGGAUCAACCAUUGCAAGGUCAAAUGACAGCACUGGAUUGUAAUUUGCAUUUCAUGAAGAUGCAACUUUUGCUUGUACCACAAGUAGAGAAGUUCACCAGAAGUGAGAGUUAAGCACCUGUCUUGUACUGUGGAUUUCUGAGGUAGCUUUGCAUUUCUGAAAUUACAAGACAUAUUCCCAGUGGAUUUAAAUUCACUCUCCAGACACUGCUCAACAGUUACACUACUUGAUAGAUGCUGGCUAUCACAUGUAUAGUCGUCUUCCAAAAAUAGAGCAGCAAGGUGAAAACACAUACCUCUGAAUUUCAGAACCCCAGAUUCUCAGCCACAGAGAGUUAUUGGAGUGUGUAACAUUAGUACAGCAAGCAACAAACAUGGCACCUGCUGUGCCCGAAAAAGCUCCCUGUGGGCAUCUGUACUUCCAAGAUCUCUGUUGUUGCAUGUGUGCAUAUCCAGGAGCACCCCAAAAUUCUGCACGCCAGUACUGCAGUCACAACCCACACACUCACACCAGUCUAAGCAGACCAUAAAAACCCAUAAGUUAACCAGAUAAAGAGCUUGUCUUUGUGAAGGUGCAAACUUACUGUUUUUAAUUUAUAAAAAAGACCUCUUCCUUAGAUGUACAGGGAGGAUAAAAGCAAAAGCCUUUUAUUUUAUGAAGAUUGAAAAGAAGAAAGCACAGCCAUUUUGCACAAAAGCUAAAAAUUAUUAACAAAGGAAAAUAGACUACCUUUGCAGGAGAUACACUUCACUUAAUACUAAAUGGCAUAUCAUGAAAUCAAUUAAAAUACUUCCAGCAUGUCAUGAAUUAUUCAUCAGUUGGUUAUUUUCAUAGUUCUUAGAGCUUAGUAGUGACUCAAGGUUUGCUGCUAGAUGUAGACAAAAUACCCAGUUGCUUAUGGCAACAAACUGGAAGAAAGGAAGAGAGAAAGGCAAAUAAAUGACUUCAGGUGUAGCUCUGCCUUGCUGCUCCCACUGCUGUCAGGCACCAGAGAACACAGCAGUUUCCUGGGGACCCACCACACCACCAUAAAUCUCAGCUUUCUGCAUCUUUCUCCAUUAUACCUUCCAGGUUCUGUCUCUCCCCAGUUUUCCGUGACAGAAGCAGUCAUGGGUCUUUCAUGGCUACACAAAAUUAACCAGUGUUUACAAUUCAGAGAUGCUUUGAGCCACCUCAAAUGCAUAUAUGAGCAUAGGUUCAGAUGCACAAAUAGACUUUGCCAUUGCUGUGUUUGACUUUUUCUUAGCUGACUGCCAGAGGAAACUCUGAGACUUAAACUGAAAUCCUAAAAGUACUCAAAUACUUUGGGCACCUUGGUGGCCAGUGUGAGUUCACAAGAACCCCCAGGUUACUGAGGGAGGAGCCAUCUAAGCUUGGCAGUAAGAAAUACUGGGGAUUGGGAAGCCUAAAUUCCCAGGACUGUACAGGGACUGGAUGAACCAUUGGGUGAGACUGUGCAGUACGUGGCCAGGAUUGUACCAUGCUUCUCCUUGCUCCUCUGUGACUGAAUAAAGUCAGCCAGGCACAGAUACUGUUUCCCUCAAGCAGCCAGGCAUAACCCAGACUUGUUUACCUGCCUAGCAACACAUAUUAAUUACAUCCCAGUGAGCUGGUGAUAUAUAAUCCAGCACUCAGGCUAUUGGCAUCAUCUGGUUAGUCUAUGAGUUCUGAAUAUUAAGCACUGCAGAAGAAAAGUAUCUAAAAUUUUCAUGCAGUCAUAGGACUGCUCCUACCUUUACACACCACAGUGAAAUAUUCAUGGCAUUUAUAAUUUAAAAUGGACUUGGAUUUCAAGUAACAACUCAGUGUAAACAUUUUUAAUCUUGUAACUUGAAAGCAAAAUGGGUCCAAUUUGAAAAUUAGCUAAUAUUUUAGUGUUUCCCCUAUUUUUAUAAUUAGCAUUAAAAAAGUUAUUGAGCAAACAAAUAUAUUUAGACUUUAUUCAAGUGUCUACUAGUACUACCUCACAUUGGUUUUUUUCUAAUUGGCUGCUCUUUAUGGUGAAAACUUAAAAUAUUAUGUUCCUCAAUUCUGAAUGAGAGGCAAUGAUAAAAUAAAAAGAUUGAGAAUAAACAGAACAAAUGCACCGAAACACUUCUGCAUAGUUGUUACAGUUAACAACAGCAGAAGUAGAAAUGGUUGGGGAAGGAAAUGAGUUUGUUAUCCUUCAUGUUACACAUCUGUAUCCAUGUGAGAUCACACCUCUGGUCUUUAUGGUUUGUCUCACCCAAUCUACCUCUUUUUAACCCUCCCUGCAUACCUUGCUUGGGGAGCUGCAGCCUUGCCUGUUCCCACAGCUCACUUGCUGAUGGCCUGUAUUGGCUGAAGUGGACAAACUGUGGGCAAGCACUCUCAAAGUAUCCCAUUCUUUCUGUGGCAUUCUCAUUCAACCUUUAUUUUAUUCCAUUUUCAAAUACAGCUCAUAUCCUAACCUCUUCUAUUUUACAGCUUAUCUUUGCACAGAAUCAUCUACUUCUCCAUGCUGGUGCCUACACUGGCAAGGGCCGUGGGCUAUACAGCACUGAAAAGAGUUAGGCAUUUACACACAUAGUGAAAACAUAUCAGAGCAUUGAAAAAAUGUGUAUGAUAAACACAAACCUUUGUGCUUAAAGGUGUAAGUGAUAAGGAUAUAAAGACUUUCAUCUUGGUAUUAUUGCUAGUAGAGAUUUCAGUUUAACAAAGCAUCUGUUUUUGAUGAUUGUUGGAAGCAGGAUACAAGACUUGCAUCAAAUACAGGUUCAAACUGGUUCCAGCGCUGCUCAGUUCCUCAGCUCCUAGGGUCAUUAGCCCCAAAAGGUAAAAUGUAUUUAAUAAUCAGUGCCAGCAAUUAAAUAAUUAUUACAAAUAUAUAUACAUAUUUUGCAUUUUAUGUCCAUUUUUAUUCUGAGACCCUUCUCAAACUAUGUAUGUGAAUGAGAAUUAGUGGUGACAGAUUUUUUGAUAAAGAGUGUUGACACAGGUACUGCAGGAGCUCUAACUGAUACUCAGCAAUUACUUCUGCCCAUCCAAUCUCUAAAUCAAUCCAAUUUACUCCCCUCAGCUCUGCAAUCAGUUCUCCUACUAGCCUUUUACACUUCCUCCUAUCAAUGUGCCUGCUGUUUCCUUCUCUUUGCAGGGAGGCUGCAGAUACAGCCAAGCAGCUUUAUUUCCUUCAUUCUGGAAGAAGGGAGCAAUAGAUACAUGAAUUAUUCUUUAUCUCUUGACCAUUUCAGUAGUUUUUCCAAACUUAAAGUUUAUUUAGAGUUUUCUUUUUGUCUGUUUCAGAUAGUCCUUUACUUACAAAGAAAAAAGAAUUCUUUCCUGUGACAGAUGUACCUUCUGGGUGGUUAGAAACAGAUUAACAGCAUGGUUCAGGAUGCACACCUUUGGCAUGGAGAACUACACUGAACUAAGAAGUGUCUCAUAGACAUAGUGUCUUCUCUAUGAAGAUAAUGGAAAAUCAGACUCUAUUAUAAUGCUUCAAUUUCUAUGCAGAGUUUUUUUACAUUUUACUGGAGGAUUUGACCCUUCAGAAUUUUACAACUUUGCAAAAAAGAAAAGACUGUUAAGUGUGCAACAACUGUAGAGUAACUUACUUGAAAUACAGAUACUAGACAAGCUUUAAUCACAAAAUUUAUACAUCAGGUCUAGGCUAGAAGGCAAGUGUGAAUAAAUCCUGUGGAAGUUGGAGGUACAGCAGAAACUCAGCAUCAAGCAGGGUUUUGACCCUGCAAUGUCAGACCACAAAGACAAUUAAGUUAAUUAAUACAAGACUUUAUGGACUGUCAUGCUGGUUCUUCCAGUCACUCUGGGCAAGCGACCUUCACUUCACCAUUGCUUGAUGUUGAAAUGCUGAAACCAGUAUUUAAGCCAGCUUUUAUAUUAAGGGCACUUAUAUACCUACAUGUGAAUGUGCAUCCAUGCACGUGUGCGUGUACACACACACAUACACACACACACACACUUGUGUCAGUAUACCUUCAAGGAUUUCAAGGAAUGAAAGACCAAUCCAGCUGUCGAGACAAAUACAUUUCUCAUGGCUAUCAUGUUUUGCUCAUCUUAUUUUUAUUGUGUUACUUAAUGCAGGAUUGCAAGGUGUUAAAUACAAGUUAGAGCAAAUGGCAUAGACAGAAAAAAGCUUGCCCUUGCCAACACCUACCUAAAAGUAGCUUUACUGAAAAGUCUAAACUUAGGGUGUCACACUGUAUGUUCCAUUGAUGUGUGGCCUCACAGCAUGGCACAAAACUGAAAGUGGAAUUAGGGAGUUUGGUUUAUUGAAGAGGCAUUCCUUGAAGAGAGAAGAGAGAGAAGCCAAGGCCUAUAGCUUCUCUCAUGUCCUAGCUCUUUUAAUUUCUUACAACCACUAAAUCAGCAAAACCCUUUAAAAAACAGUAUUUGUAACAGGACCAGUUUAAAUAAGUUCUUUCAGUUUUGAUGCCCAACGUCUCUUGCAGCAGGACCAGCCAUUCCUUUGAAAGAGGGAUUUCUCAUCUAACGGCAUUAUUUUAAUCACCAUUUCCUCCCUUUAUAAUACAAGACUGUCAGGAGCAUUCCUCACUUGGGUUUAUUGAGGAGGCUGUCUUUCUAGUCAUGUGAACACGAAGUCCUUCUCUACAGAAUUACAAAAAUAACCUGUAAACAAGUAUUUCAUUUGUACCUCCCUGUUGUCAUCACAUUUUCCUUCCCCGUGGCAGUAAGGCAGAAUAGCUAUUUAAUGAUCAAACAAACUGGCACUGUUCAUUACUAGAAGAAAAGCACAUCAAUAAAACAAGAAAUACUUCAGUUAAGUGUUAAUAGACCGGGUGCCACAGUUUGCAAAGUAAUUAUCUGUGGAUACCAGAGGAUUACAUCUGAAAAGGACUAGAUACCCUUUCUGUUAUUACUGACAAAUAGAAGACAGUACCUGGUCUGAAUUUAACAGUUGGAAUUACAUGAGUAAAUCUGAUUAAAAAUGCUCCUCUAUUCUGAAAAUUGCACUUGACAGCUGCCUAUUUAUUCACCUGAAGUUCCAAUUCCAACUGUUUUGGAAUGGAAAUGAAAAUAGUAGAUAUGAUGAAAAUUCAGUAUAGGUAUGGAUCUAUCAUGGCAUAUGAUAUAGCAUAAUAUUAUAUAUAUUAUAAAUCAUGUGUGAGCAUGUAUAUAUAUAUACACACACACACACACAAUAAUGGUAAGGUUAGCAUUAUGAAUAAGGUUAGUGUUGAACGUGACAGUUUAUCUGUCUGUAAGCAGAGGAACAGGGAAAGAAUAAUUGAGUUGCUUCUAUUUUUCUCAACUUUGGAAACAGUAGCUAAAUUUUUAUUUAUUUUAAUCUAAACCCAAGGUGCUCUUCACAAGGCAGAAUACAGAGCCAUCAGUGAUGAUGCAUUUUGAUUUGAAUGGAGAUGUCAUAAGCUGAAUACUCCCCCAGCAAACAGGCUGGGCAAGGUCUCUCAGCUGACAGGGAUCUCUGCACUUGGACCGACAGCAGGCUCAGGAAACAACUGAUGAUCCUGUGCCAGCUGCCUGCUGGCGUUACUGAGUUGUUAACUGUGCUUAUAUUGAAAUGAUAAACUGCUUCACACACAGCACGUGUGGAGAAGCAGUUCACCGCCAGGUGGCAGAUACCACAACUUGAAUUUCAAAUGCUAAAGAGACCAAAGGGCAGCACUGAUUCAGAAAACCCCUAACUGAUGCACAUGCAUUUUAGAAAGGUAAACAGACACUCUUCUCCUUUUACCAAGUCCAAGGAUGCACUGCAUGGACCCUACCAUGCUCCAAGUUACAGACUAUUGAUAGCUGAUUACUGUGCUAUAAUAAAUUUUAAUUCCCAGACGAAUGCUUGUUAAGAAAAAAAAAGCCUUUUUGGUUCACUACCUUCCUAGAGUAAGAGCAAGUAUCUCAUCCAACACUUGCUCAUUUAUACCUGUACUGCUCUAUAGGCUAAACUUUACAUACAACAUUGGAUUUCUUACCAAUUUCAAACAUAUUGGUUCAGAAUAGUGAGAUAAAAUUGGUCCCUGAGAGCAUUCAUGGAUAGAACGAAGGGCAGAAAAUGAAAAUAUUAAGAUUUUUCAAGAGUGCUUAAUUCACUCUACUAAAGCUACUCAGUCCUCCCUGUAACAAAAGCCAUAUUAACAAUUUCCAAAUGCUGGGCCUUCCUUUGUAAUCUGUUCAUCUCAGAUCAGUACCACAAGUUAGUAUAAUUUGUCUAACAUGUUAGAUUGCAAAUGCUCUGAGGCAGUAACCAGUUUUUGUCCCUGUAUUUGCAGAAGGUUUAGCAUGCUGGUACCCUGACAAAGGACUUAAUCGAAUAAUAAUAGGUCAUUAUCACAGCAAGUCAAGGUGCUUUACAGAUAGUUUAAUAAGGUUUGAGAAGCAAGUGUUUGAGCAGGAACAAAGUGGGAGCUGGGGGACAACCAUGAAGUGAAUGGACACUUAGUGAGUGUAUUAACUCCCAACAGUGCUAACAUUUCAGAGAAUCUGUAAUAUAAAUGAACCUCAAUUUGAAGAUUUGUUUCUAGUAUUUUUUUAAGCCAAAACUUGCAUUUUUUCCCCUCCUAGUAUCUGCCAUCAUAAAACAAUUGCUUUUCUAGGUUUUCUUCUACAUGGACUUGGAGCUGCUGAUGCCAAGACUUGAGUUAUACUUUGUUCUCUGUGUUUUAUGAGCUUUAUUGGUACUCACUUCACUGUGCAACUGCAAAUAUACAAGCAAGAAAAUUUCUUUGCAUUUUACUGAUGUAUAUUUCUCAGUAAGUUUUUGAAAAUUAAAACAUGGGAUUUAUCACUGGACUUUCAGAUUAGGCACGGCAUACUCUAAUCUUAACCUGUUACCUGAUCUGUGACAACUCUGUUCCAGUUUUAUUUAGCAGAUUGCCCAGGUGUGGAUGUAGAGAAAUACAUUUAAUAAACCAUAUAUUUUGCAAAAUUAAACUAUCACACAAAUUUAAAAAAUGCUAUUUUAAAGAAGAUUUGAAACAUACCCACAUUGUGUUUGUUCAAGUGUAUUUGCUGUAUAAAGACCACAAAUCAUCAAAUGAAGUGUUUUGAACACAAAACCAACACAAUUAAAGAAACAAACCACUGUAAUUUAAUAGCAACAAUCUCACUUUACAAGAUAGCAACGAUGGAAAUUUUGCAAAGGAAUGUGAAAAAAAGAAUAGAAUUAAAAAUGACAGAUUUAAGACAACAGAAAACUUGAAAUUAAAUAGCACAAUAAUUCUAGUAUGCGUAAAUUUUAUUCAGAAUGUUUACUUAUGCAGCAUUCUGAUUAGUAAGUGACACUGUAUUACCAGCACUUACUAACAUCUGAUAAAUACUAUGCCCUUAAAGUAGUGCUUUUCUGUUCAGUGACCUUGCACAAA
Molecule: long non-coding RNA, 9237 nt
Organism: Catharus ustulatus (Swainson's thrush)
Lineage: Eukaryota; Metazoa; Chordata; Aves; Passeriformes; Turdidae
Exons: 2
Source: RefSeq, a predicted model, not a curated record